Molecule: ribosomal RNA, 462 nt
Filed under: uncultured bacterium
Lineage: Bacteria
Description: partial 16S ribosomal RNA
Rfam family: Bacterial small subunit ribosomal RNA
Source: RNAcentral
GACGAACGCUGGCGGCGUGCUUAACACAUGCAAGUCGAGCGGAAAGGCCCUUCGGGGUACUCGAGCGGCGAACGGGUGAGUAACACGUGAGUAACCUGCCCCAGACUUUGGGAUAACCCUCGGAAACGGGGGCUAAUACCGGAUACGACACAGCUUCGCAUGGGGUCUGUGUGGAAAGUUUUUCGGUUUGGGAUGGGCUCGCGGCCUAUCAGCUUGUUGGUGGGGUGAUGGCCUACCAAGGCGACGACGGGUAGCUGGCCUGAGAGGGCGACCGGCCACACUGGGACUGAGACACGGCCCAGACUCCUACGGGAGGCAGCAGUGGGGAAUAUUGCACAAUGGGCGGAAGCCUGAUGCAGCGACGCCGCGUGAGGGAUGACGGCCUUCGGGUUGUAAACCUCUUUCAGCAGGGACGAAGCGUAAGUGACGGUAACUGCAGAAGAAGCGCCGGCCAACUACGUG